UACGUAGGUGGCGAGCGUUAUCCGGAAUCAUUGGGCGUAAAGAGGGAGCAGGCGGCAGUGCAGGUCUGCGGUGAAAGCCCGAAGCUAAACUUCGGUAAGCCGUGGAAACCGCACAGCUAGAGAGCAUCAGAGGAUCGCGGAAUUCCAUGCGUAGCGGUGAAAUGCGUAGAUAUAUGGAGGAACACCAGUGGCGAAGGCGGCGGUCUGGGGUGCAGCUGACGCUCAGUCCCGAAAGCGUGGGGAGCAAAUAGG
RNAcentral lists this ribosomal RNA (252 nucleotides) under uncultured bacterium. RNAcentral's name for it is "partial 16S ribosomal RNA". It matches the Rfam family "Bacterial small subunit ribosomal RNA", at positions 524 to 776 of the family's 1533-position model. The record is from RNAcentral.